This 370-nucleotide ribosomal RNA is filed under the name uncultured Arcobacter sp. RNAcentral's name for it is "bacterial SSU rRNA". It matches the Rfam family "Bacterial small subunit ribosomal RNA", at positions 1003 to 1370 of the family's 1533-position model. The record is from RNAcentral. Lineage: Bacteria; Pseudomonadati; Campylobacterota; Epsilonproteobacteria; Campylobacterales; Arcobacteraceae.
GAGACGGGCGUAUGCUGUUCGGACUGAACUUGCAUACAGGUGCUGCACGGCUGUCGGCUGCUCGUGCCGAGUUAUGUUGUUUUAAGUCCAUCAACGACCGCAGCCUCGUCCUUAGUUGGUAACAGUUCGGCUGAUAACUCUACGGAGAGUGCCUACGCAAGUAGGAGGAAGGCGAGGAUGACGUCAAGUCACGAUGGCCCUUACGUCCAGGGCUACACACGUGCUACAAUGGGGUAUACAAAGAGCAGCAAUACGGUGACGUGGAGCAAAUCUCAAAAAUGCCUCCCAGUUCGGAUUGUAGUCUGCAACUCGACUACAUGAAGUUGGAAUCGCUAGUAAUCGUAGAUCAGCUAUGCUACGGUGAAUACGA